Molecule: ribosomal RNA, 440 nt
Filed under: uncultured bacterium
Lineage: Bacteria
Description: partial 16S ribosomal RNA
Rfam family: Bacterial small subunit ribosomal RNA
Source: RNAcentral
CCUACGGGAGGCUGCAGUGGGGAAUAUUGCACAAUGGGGGAAACCCUGAUGCAGCGACGCCGCGUGAGUGAAGAAGUCUUUCGGUAUGUAAAGCUCUAUCAGCAGGGAAGAAAAUGACGGUACCUGAUUAAGAAGCCCCGGCUAACUACGUGCCAGCAGCCGCGGUAAUACGUAGGGGGCAAGCGUGAUCCGGAUUUAAUGGGUGGAAAGGGAGCGUAGACGGCAGCACAAGUCUGGAGUGAAAUGCCGGGGCUUAACCCCGGAACUGCUAUGGAAACUGUGCAGCUAGAGUGCAGGAGAGGUAAGUAGAAUUCCUGGUGUAGCGGUGAAAUGCGUAGAUAUUAGGAGGAACACCAGUGGCGAAGGCGGCUUACUGGACUGAAACUGACGUUGAGGCGCGAAAGCGUGGGUAGCAAACAGGAUUAGAUACCCCAGUAGUC